RNAcentral lists this ribosomal RNA (253 nucleotides) under uncultured bacterium. RNAcentral's name for it is "partial 16S ribosomal RNA". It matches the Rfam family "Bacterial small subunit ribosomal RNA", at positions 524 to 776 of the family's 1533-position model. The record is from RNAcentral.
UACGUAGGGUGCAAGCGUUGUCCGGAAUUAUUGGGCGUAAAGAGCUCGUAGGCGGUUUGUCGCGUCUGCUGUGAAAACUCGGGGCUUAACUCCGGGCCUGCAGUGGGUACGGGCAGACUAGAGUGCGGUAGGGGAGACUGGAAUUCCUGGUGUAGCGGUGAAAUGCGCAGAUAUCAGGAGGAACACCAAUAGCGAAGGCGGCUCUCUGGGCCUUACCUGACGCUGAGGAGCGAAAGCGUGGGUAGCGAACAGG